GAUGAACGCUGGCGGCGUGCCUAAUACAUGCAAGUCGAGCGAACAGAUGAGGAGCUUGCUCCUCUGACGUUAGCGGCGGACGGGUGAGUAACACGUGGAUAACCUACCUAUAAGACUGGGAUAACUUCGGGAAACCGGAGCUAAUACCGGAUAAUAUAUUGAACCACAUGGUUCAAUAGUGAAAGACGGUUUUGCUGUCACUUAUAGAUGGAUCCGCGCCGCAUUAGCUAGUUGGUAAGGUAACGGCUUACCAAGGCAACGAUGCGUAGCCGACCUGAGAGGGUGAUCGGCCACACUGGAACUGAGACACGGUCCAGACUCCUACGGGAGGCAGCAGUAGGGAAUCUUCCGCAAUGGGCGAAAGCCUGACGGAGCAACGCCGCGUGAGUGAUGAAGGUCUUCGGAUCGUAAAACUCUGUUAUUAGGGAAGAACAAAUGUGUAAGUAACUAUGCACGUCUUGACGGUACCUAAGCAGAAAGCCACGGCUAACUACGU
RNAcentral lists this ribosomal RNA (496 nucleotides) under uncultured bacterium. RNAcentral describes it as "partial 16S ribosomal RNA". It matches the Rfam family "Bacterial small subunit ribosomal RNA", at positions 28 to 506 of the family's 1533-position model. The record is from RNAcentral.